GACUUCCGCUUCACCUCGCUAUCUUGCCCUAGAAAGGGAACUCGGAGGGGACUCACUGACGAAAGGAGCUCCAGAUGGCGGGGGGCCAACCUGGGGCGACCCCCAGCGCCCACUUUCACCAUCUGGACCCCAGCAAACCUCCCUGUGGCCCUUGGUCCCGUCUUCAGCAGCUCCUUCUGGGGUCCCACACCUUCGGAGCCCGGCCCUGCCCCUGAGUCUCUGGAGAGAGCGAGUCAGCAGUUCGCCGCCGCGGGGCUCCCGUUUGCCUAGCACGCCAGUUUCUGUCCAGUUUCACCCCAAAUCCCCACCUCCCCCCACCCCCGAACCUCACGGCCACCCUGGGAAGGAGGCUUGACUUGUGACAUCCACCCCUCUUCACGGCUGAGGAACUUUGGCCCCGAGCGAGGAAGCGACCGGCCCACGGCCACACGCCCGGAGUGGGGGGCAGCAUCUUCUACUAUGUGCAUCUACAUUGGAUGGCAGUGGAGCAACACAGAUUGUUUUCUGACAAAAAUCAGCCAAGUACUAGGAGAGGCAGGACUUUAGAAGUGGAGGAGAUGGAGAAGGAAGCUUAGGUUACUAUGGAGUGUGCAAAAAGGUCCUGUGGAUUUAGAUACCACCACACACAAAUGCUGUUGUUGGAAGGUACCUGCCCAGAUAAGGACUGCAUUUCCUCUAGCAUCCAGAUGGGACCAAAUGACUGCUGGCCAAUAGAAGUGAGUGGAAAGGACUGACUCCAGUUCCAGGUUGGGCCUCCAACUGCUCUGGGCACGUCGAUGGAACAGAACACCACCUCCACCCCAAUACCACCAAUUCAACUUUACAUGAAUUAUAAGCGAGAAAUAACUUGGACUGUGUUAAGUCAUUGAGUUUCUGGGGUUUAACUGUUAUUAUAGUUAAGAAUGACUUUAACUAAUAUAGUCAAUGACAUCUAAAAAAAAAAA
This 944-nucleotide long non-coding RNA is filed under the name Homo sapiens (human). RNAcentral's name for it is "HPS1 antisense RNA 1, transcript variant 3 (HPS1-AS1)". Lineage: Eukaryota; Metazoa; Chordata; Mammalia; Primates; Hominidae. The record is from RNAcentral.